GACGAACGCUGGCGGCGUGCUUAACACAUGCGAGUCGAACGGAAAGGCCCCUUUGGGGGUACUCGAGUGGCGAACGGGGGAGUAACACGUGAGUAACCUGCCCUUGACUUCGGGAUAACUUCAGGAAACUGGGGCUAAUACCGGAUAGGAAUCCUUGCUGCAUGGUGGGGGUUGGAAAGCUUCGGCGGUUUUGGAUGGACUCGCGGCUUAUCAGCUUGUUGGUGGGGUAGUGGCUUACCAAGGCUUUGACGGGUAGCCGGCCUGAGAGGGCGACCGGCCACAUUGGGACUGAGAUACGGCCCAGACUCCUACGGGAGGCAGCAGUGGGGAAUAUUGCACAAUGGGCGGAAGCCUGAUGCAGCAACGCCGCGGGCGGGAUGACGGCCUUCGGGUUGUAAACCGCUUUCAGCAGGGGCGAAGCUUGUGGUGACGGUACCUGCAGAAGAAGCACCGGCUAACUACGUG
This 465-nucleotide ribosomal RNA is filed under the name uncultured bacterium. RNAcentral describes it as "partial 16S ribosomal RNA". It matches the Rfam family "Bacterial small subunit ribosomal RNA", at positions 28 to 507 of the family's 1533-position model. The record is from RNAcentral.